This 1343-nucleotide ribosomal RNA is filed under the name uncultured bacterium. Its description in RNAcentral is "16S ribosomal RNA". It matches the Rfam family "Bacterial small subunit ribosomal RNA", at positions 28 to 1378 of the family's 1533-position model. The record is from RNAcentral.
GACGAACGCUGGCGGCGUGCUUAACACAUGCAAGUCGAACGGAAAGGCCCUGCUUUUGUGGGGUGCUCGAGUGGCGAACGGGUGAGUAACACGUGAGUAACCUGCCCUUGACUUUGGGAUAGCUUCAGGAAACUGGGGCUAAUACCGGAUAGGAGCUCCUGCUGCAUGGUGGGGGUUGGAAAGUUUCGGCGGUUGGGGAUGGACUCGCGGCUUAUCAGCUUGUUGGUGGGGUAGUGGCUUACCAAGGCUUUGACGGGUAGCCGGCCUGAGAGGGUGACCGGCCACAUUGGGACUGAGAUACGGCCCAGACUCCUACGGGAGGCAGCAGUGGGGAAUAUUGCACAAUGGGCGGAAGCCUGAUGCAGCAACGCCGCGUGCGGGAUGACGGCCUUCGGGUUGUAAACCGCUUUCGCCUGUGACGAAGCGUGAGUGACGGUAAUGGGUAAAGAAGCACCGGCUAACUACGUGCCAGCAGCCGCGGUGAUACGUAGGGUGCGAGCGUUGUCCGGAUUUAUUGGGCGUAAAGGGCUCGUAGGUGGUUGAUCGCGUCGGAAGUGUAAUCUUGGGGCUUAACCCUGAGCGUGCUUUCGAUACGGGUUGACUUGAGGAAGGUAGGGGAGAAUGGAAUUCCUGGUGGAGCGGUGGAAUGCGCAGAUAUCAGGAGGAACACCAGUGGCGAAGGCGGUUCUCUGGGCCUUUCCUGACGCUGAGGAGCGAAAGCGUGGGGAGCGAACAGGCUUAGAUACCCUGGUAGUCCACGCUGUAAACGGUGGGUACUAGGUGUGGGGUCCAUUCCACGGGUUCCGUGCCGUAGCUAACGCUUUAAGUACCCCGCCUGGGGAGUACGGCCGCAAGGCUAAAACUCAAAGGAAUUGACGGGGCCCCGCACAAGCGGCGGAGCAUGCGGAUUAAUUCGAUGCAACGCGUAGAACCUUACCUGGGUUUGACAUGGAUCGGGAGCGCUCAGAGAUGGGUGUGCCUCUUUUGGGGUCGGUUCACAGGUGGUGCAUGGCUGUCGUCAGCUCGUGUCGUGAGAUGUUGGGUUAAGUCCCGCAACGAGCGCAACCCUUGUUCACUGUUGCCAGCACGUUAUGGUGGGGACUCAGUGGAGACCGCCGGGGUCAACUCGGAGGAAGGUGGGGAUGACGUCAAGUCAUCAUGCCCCUUAUGUCCAGGGCUUCACGCAUGCUACAAUGGCUGGUACAGAGAGUGGCGAGCCUGUGAGGGUGAGCGAAUCUCGGAAAGCCGGUCUCAGUUCGGAUUGGGGUCUGCAACUCGACCUCAUGAAGUCGGAGUCGCUAGUAAUCGCAGAUCAGCAACGCUGCGGUGAAUACGUUCCCGGG